UCUGUGCCACGCUCCAUGGAGGCACCAAGGAGAAGGCCUGGGAAGGGAAGAGUGAGCCUUCCCUGGUGGAGGGGCCCCUCCUCAGGCAGUGGGGAGACCACCUUUUGCAUGCAACAGGACUUACCAGUUACUAUUGGCACCGGAACCACCAUCUGAGAUACAUGAGAAAACAGAAAUGGAACUAAAGGAAGGGAGUUCCACAACUGUGGAGCAACAACCACCACUGAAGCCUGAGAUCUCUGCUGAGCUCGCUGUGCCUAAGUCCCCCGGCAGGAAACCUUCCCCGAGGCAAAACACCUGAUCGGUCUGAACCAAUUACUUCCCAUCUUUGGAUUAAUAAACUUAGAUAUGGUUCCUUCUAACUCUAAAAAAGGAAAAAGAAGAAACAGGACAAGAAGCCUAGAUGGUGAAAAAACGAAGUAGGUCAGCUAUAGAAACACCAAGUGCUCACAGGAUUGCAUUUUACAUGAUUCAAGACUGUCUAAAUUUCAAGGCAGUUAAAAAGGCAUCACUAGCCUAAUCACAUUAGCUCUUCAAUCAAGUAAGGUAAUCAAGGAGAACCUGCCCCUACUAUACAAUCUUAUACAUAAAAUGCAACAUCCUUAAGUGCCACCAAAGAUCAUUCUUUUCUAUGGAGACCCUACUGUGGAACGUACAAGGUACCACUCAUUGGGUGGCUGCUCAUCCUAUGUAUGUAAGGGGAUAGAAGCCAGUUUCUGAGACCAGGAUGACAAACCUGACUCUGUAAAAUGACCAUGAGAACACUCUAUCUGACUUUUCUACAUCAGCAAACCACCCCCACAGAGACUGUUGCCCUUACCUCUAUACAGGUUUGCAAAGUAAACCUUCAUAGCUGCUUGGUAGAGGACAGCACUCCCAUCCUACCAUCAGCAUGUCCACUUGUACCGCUCAGCUACAUUAGGGCAAAACUGUUCCUGUGAAGUGGGGUCAUUCUUUUCCUACCACUGAACAUUCCAAAUGCUGCUCUCAAAGCCUAAGUCCUCUGAGUUUCCCAUGUCCCCCAUCAACCAAUACAACCAUAAAGAUUCUGGACACUGGUGAGAAAAUGAAGAGGUAAGAAUAUUAAAAUAAAAUCUUCUCAUUUUGACGGUGAAGAUGUCGGCAUUAUUUAUAGCUCAGUGGUAUGACUCUUUGAGAUGUAUAUAUUGCUAAUAUUAGCUAACUAGACAAGGGCAAGUACACACAGUCCUUCAUCAGUCCUAAUGGAAGUAUCCCUUCAUGGAAAUUCCCUGGUUUAUAGAGUUCUUAUGGAACCCUUAACUUAAAUUUCCUUCCACACUCUGGCAAAAAUACAGCAUGAAAUCAAAACUCUGGUAUUCAUUCAUCCGGAGUCUGAAGGAUGACCUGUAAGGCACCCACUGGUUACACAAAUGAGCUGAAGCAAAACACAAUUUAACAAUGGGCAAAGUCAACUUACUUGUUCAUUUUUAGUAAGCCUGGUUUUGUUGUGAA
Symphalangus syndactylus (siamang) is the source of this 1473-nucleotide long non-coding RNA. RefSeq lists it as uncharacterized. The record is from RefSeq and is a predicted model, not a curated record. NCBI's taxonomy places the organism in Eukaryota, Metazoa, Chordata, Mammalia, Primates, Hylobatidae.